Molecule: long non-coding RNA, 990 nt
Organism: Cannabis sativa
Lineage: Eukaryota; Viridiplantae; Streptophyta; Magnoliopsida; Rosales; Cannabaceae
Exons: 3
Source: RefSeq, a predicted model, not a curated record
ACGGCAGCCAUUAUUCUUUCAAAAGAAUUCAAAUUCUUUCAAACCUUUUUCUCUCUAUUUCUAACGGCAGAAGCUAAAGAAAAACCUAGGGUUAGGGUUUGUAUAAUUUUUCCUUCUCUUUUCUUUCUCUUCAACACAAAUGGCAGCUAGGGCUUUCUAGGGUUAGGGUUUAUUUCUCUUCUUCUUCUCUUUGCAGCCGCACUUAGGGUUAGGGUUCUUCAAUAUUAUAUUUUUCUUCAAGCUUCUUCUUUUCUCUACUAAUGGCAGCAACUAAAUGGUUCUAAGGUUGGGGUUCUCCAAAAUGUUUCUUUUCUUCUUUGCAGCCUCUACCCGAACCAAGAGGAACCCAAAAACCCCACAAAGUUUCUACCCGAAACUAUGCCUAGAAAACUCACUCACUCAAAACCGAACCCCAAAAAACCUCUCACCAUCUCUUUGGCCGAAACACAACAAACCCGAAAAUAGCAAGAACACUCAACAUACACACAAAUACAAAUACCAGAAAAGUAAUAAGAGUGAGAUGAGAGAAUGCAAACAGUGAUUAAGAAGAUGACACCAAAACUUUGAUCUCGGAGUUCGCCCAAAACAACCGGCUACUUCUCCGUCAAGCCCUCAGCUUGAUUCCACUAAUCAUCAAACAAAGGAGGAGCUCACAUGGAGAUGACAACUCACAGCCAAAAGGCUCUCUUUUUACUUUGUUGUUAUUUCUGAUGUUGUUCUCUGUUGUUGUAUCUCUCUGGCUGUGACUCUUUAUUUUGCUCUGUAUUUUAUUACUUGUUGUAUCUGAGAAAAGCACCUCCUUUUAUAUACUGUUCUGUGAUCUGAUCUAGGGCAGAGCCCUAGUGAUAUUUGUAACUGUUUUUAUAACUGCUUCAGUUGUAACUGUCUUUGUAACUGUCUUUAUGUUCUUUAGUCUUGAUAUUUGUUGUAUCUGAUGUAAGGGUAUAUUUGUCAAACCCUAUGAGUGGUGUUAUUCAACUUAAGGGUAAA